This 77-nucleotide transfer RNA is filed under the name Fusobacteriaceae bacterium. Its description in RNAcentral is "tRNA-Arg". It matches the Rfam family "tRNA". From Rfam's summary of the family: Transfer RNA (tRNA) molecules are approximately 80 nucleotides in length. Their secondary structure includes four short double-helical elements and three loops (D, anti-codon, and T loops). Further hydrogen bonds mediate the characteristic L-shaped molecular structure. tRNAs have two regions of fundamental functional importance: the anti-codon, which is responsible for specific mRNA codon recognition, and the 3' end, to which the tRNAs corresponding amino acid is attached (by aminoacyl-tRNA synthetases). tRNAs cope with the degeneracy of the genetic code in two manners: having more than one tRNA (with a specific anti-codon) for a particular amino acid; and 'wobble' base-pairing, i.e. permitting non-standard base-pairing at the 3rd anti-codon position. Lineage: Bacteria; Fusobacteriati; Fusobacteriota; Fusobacteriia; Fusobacteriales; Fusobacteriaceae. The record is from RNAcentral.
GUAUCUGUAGCUCAGCUGGAUAGAGCAACGCCCUUCUAAGUCGUGGGUCGGGGGUUCGAAUCCCUUCAGAUACGCCA